GACGAACCGUGCGAACGUUGUUCGGAAUCACUGGGCUUAAAGGGCGCGUAGGCGGGCUGCCAAGUCCGUGGUGAAAUCCCCCGGCUCAACCGGGGAACGGCCUCGGAUACUGGCGGCCUGGAGGCGGGUAGGGGCAAGCGGAACUGUGGGUGGAGCGGUGAAAUGCGUUGAGAUCCACAGGAACUCCGGUGGCGAAGGCGGCUUGCUGGACCCGAUCUGACGCUGAGGCGCGAAAGCCAGGGGAGCGAACGGG
RNAcentral lists this ribosomal RNA (253 nucleotides) under uncultured bacterium. RNAcentral's name for it is "partial 16S ribosomal RNA". It matches the Rfam family "Bacterial small subunit ribosomal RNA", at positions 524 to 776 of the family's 1533-position model. The record is from RNAcentral.